CGAAGUGGUGGGCUGCUGCCCUCACAAGCAUUGUGAGGGCAGCGGUUCUAGCCCCCACAAAAGCAUUGUGGGGGCUAAAUGUUCUUUAUACUCAUUCUCUCUUGCGAAAUGCGAGUGGAGUAUGGACAUCACUCUCCUGUGAGGGGUUAUUUGUUUGGGCAUGUACUUUAUAGAAUUCAAUGUCAUAAUAUAUAAGUCCCAAUUAUGUAUAUCUG
Molecule: long non-coding RNA, 215 nt
Filed under: Citrus maxima (pomelo)
Lineage: Eukaryota; Viridiplantae; Streptophyta; Magnoliopsida; Sapindales; Rutaceae
Description: long non-coding RNA (CMAX_LNC000045)
Source: RNAcentral